This 1353-nucleotide ribosomal RNA is filed under the name Cellulosimicrobium sp. RNAcentral describes it as "bacterial SSU rRNA". It matches the Rfam family "Bacterial small subunit ribosomal RNA", at positions 26 to 1390 of the family's 1533-position model. The record is from RNAcentral. Lineage: Bacteria; Bacillati; Actinomycetota; Actinomycetes; Micrococcales; Promicromonosporaceae.
AGGACGAACGCUGGCGGCGUGCUUAACACAUGCAAGUCGAACGAUGAUGCCCAGCUUGCUGGGUGGAUUAGUGGCGAACGGGUGAGUAACACGUGAGUAACCUGCCCUUGACUUCGGGAUAACUCCGGGAAACCGGGGCUAAUACCGGAUAUGAGCCGCCUUCGCAUGGGGGUGGUUGGAAAGUUUUUCGGUCAGGGAUGGGCUCGCGGCCUAUCAGCUUGUUGGUGGGGUGAUGGCCUACCAAGGCGACGACGGGUAGCCGGCCUGAGAGGGCGACCGGCCACACUGGGACUGAGACACGGCCCAGACUCCUACGGGAGGCAGCAGUGGGGAAUAUUGCACAAUGGGCGAAAGCCUGAUGCAGCGACGCCGCGUGAGGGAUGAAGGCCUUCGGGUUGUAAACCUCUUUCAGCAGGGAAGAAGCGCAAGUGACGGUACCUGCAGAAGAAGCGCCGGCUAACUACGUGCCAGCAGCCGCGGUAAUACGUAGGGCGCAAGCGUUGUCCGGAAUUAUUGGGCGUAAAGAGCUCGUAGGCGGUUUGUCGCGUCUGGUGUGAAAACUCGAGGCUCAACCUCGAGCUUGCAUCGGGUACGGGCAGACUAGAGUGCGGUAGGGGAGACUGGAAUUCCUGGUGUAGCGGUGGAAUGCGCAGAUAUCAGGAGGAACACCGAUAGGCGAAGGCAGGUCUCUGGGCCGCAACUGACGCUGAGGAGCGAAAGCAUGGGGAGCGAACAGGAUUAGAUACCCUGGUAGUCCAUGCCGUAAACGUUGGGCACUAGGUGUGGGGCUCAUUCCACGAGUUCCGUGCCGCAGCAAACGCAUUAAGUGCCCCGCCUGGGGAGUACGGCCGCAAGGCUAAAACUCAAAGGAAUUGACGGGGGCCCGCACAAGCGGCGGAGCAUGCGGAUUAAUUCGAUGCAACGCGAAGAACCUUACCAAGGCUUGACAUGCACGAGAAGCCACCAGAGAUGGUGGUCUCUUUGGACACUCGUGCACAGGUGGUGCAUGGUUGUCGUCAGCUCGUGUCGUGAGAUGUUGGGUUAAGUCCCGCAACGAGCGCAACCCUCGUCCCAUGUUGCCAGCGGGUUAUGCCGGGGACUCAUGGGAGACUGCCGGGGUCAACUCGGAGGAAGGUGGGGAUGACGUCAAAUCAUCAUGCCCCUUAUGUCUUGGGCUUCACGCAUGCUACAAUGGCCGGUACAAAGGGCUGCGAUACCGUAAGGUGGAGCGAAUCCCAAAAAGCCGGUCUCAGUUCGGAUUGGGGUCUGCAACUCGACCCCAUGAAGUCGGAGUCGCUAGUAAUCGCAGAUCAGCAACGCUGCGGUGAAUACGUUCCCGGGCCUUGCACACCC